Molecule: long non-coding RNA, 247 nt
Filed under: Arachis ipaensis
Lineage: Eukaryota; Viridiplantae; Streptophyta; Magnoliopsida; Fabales; Fabaceae
Description: long non-coding RNA (AIPA_LNC000549)
Source: RNAcentral
UAGCAAAAUCUUCCCUUUUUUUCAAUUGCAAGAAGUAGGUCUAUUGCAUCAUCUUUUCCCAAGUCACCAUAGAAUUUAGCAAGGUCUCUACAAUUUGUCUCCCAUUUUUUUUGAUUGUUGUAUUUGAAUUUCUUUUGUCGAUAAAUUUCAAUAGAUCAAGACUUUGUUAGCAAUUGUGUAUUUGUGUUUGUUGAUUUCAAUGUUAUGACUUUAUGAAAUAGUAUGGUAGUUUUUUUUUUGAAUUGAC